This 640-nucleotide long non-coding RNA is filed under the name Homo sapiens (human). Its description in RNAcentral is "non-protein coding lnc-EDEM2-4:1". The record is from RNAcentral. Lineage: Eukaryota; Metazoa; Chordata; Mammalia; Primates; Hominidae.
CAACUUAGAGCACACUCCUGGGAGUAGGAUCAGCAGGUUGCUGAUGGGGAGAUUGAGGUCCAGAGAGGUGCAGGGACUUGCCCAAAGUUUAUAUAUCAUGGUGGUGACAGAUCCAAGAUUAAAAUUUAGUUUUCCAGUAUAAUGGCUACAUUUUACCAGAAUUUUAAGUAAAUAACAAUUACAUAAUCCGGGAUCUUGGUCUCAGAAGUAGUCAUAAAAUGAGUGUAAAGCAGUUCACUGCAGCAUGUUUUUAAAAAAUAGGAGAGAAUUAUGAGCAAUCUGUAUAAAUCUCAGAAGAUGAUUGGUUACCUAAAGCAAUCUUUUUGAAACUGAGGUCAUAAUUUAUUAGUGGACAAUGAAAUCAAUUUAGCAGGUCAUGGUUACCAUUUUUAAAAAAUGAAAUAGGACAGAAUACAAAAUUUCAGCGCGUCACCCUUAGUAAGAGAAAGUGUUAUGUCAUGAAAUAUUUGCUCAGUUGUAUAUGUGUGCUUUGGUUUUGUGUGUGUAUGUUUCUAUGAUGAGUUUUGGAUAGCAGUGUAAAAUGCGUCCCUUACUCUAGGAAGCAAGUAGAAAAGCUUUAAAGUCACUCCUCCGAGCAUGCUGCUGGCACUUUGGGAGGCCGAGGUGGGCAGAUCACUUG